RNAcentral lists this long non-coding RNA (2743 nucleotides) under Vigna radiata. RNAcentral's name for it is "long non-coding RNA (VRAD_LNC002834)". The record is from RNAcentral. Lineage: Eukaryota; Viridiplantae; Streptophyta; Magnoliopsida; Fabales; Fabaceae.
UGUUUUCCAUAAUGAUUCUUGUCUUGUUCUUGCUCUUGUGGUAGUGUACCAUGCUCUAUGGUGGUAGAGGAAUGCAGGUUCAAGGACAACUUGACCUGCAUACUUUUAUUAGAAUUGGUUAGAGACUUUGAGACAAAUUCUUGCCUCGAAGAUAAGGAGUUAGAAUACCAGAGUUUAGAUUCCAAGAGAUGAGUGAAGAUAUUAUAGUUUAAUGGAAAUUUUCUUGGGGUGAAGAAACUUUCAAGAAGGAUGUUUCAAGAUCAAUGGUUCAUUAAGAAGAAAGGUUUGAUCAUUAGUUGGGGUGAGAGAUCUCAAGCAUUGAAGGAAGGAGUAUGUCAAGAUGUCAAUUUGGUGUGAAAAGGUGAGGAUAGAGAAUUAGGAGCACGGUGAAUGAGGAACAAAGAAGAAAGGUUUUAGAACAGAUGACAAGGGGUGGUUGCAGUAUAAGAUGUGAAAGAGGGUAUCGGAAAUGACUAGAGAAUUUGAGUUGGUGGAGGUGUUCAGAGUUAUGAAGUUGCAUGUUAUGGUAAAGUCAAUUUUCAUCGGGUGAGGCUUCAUGGUGAUGUUCAGGGUUCAACGGAGUUUGAUCAAGAGAUAAGUGGAUGUGGGAUGAUGGAUUGUAGAAGGCAGUGAGUUAGAAAGUUCAGAUAAGGUUAGAGGAUUGAUGUUGCUGGUUAAGGGUAUCUUGAGGUUAAGAGGAUUAAAGAUAAGGUCUGUAUUUCUAAAGAUUGUGAGUUGAAGAGGACAAUUCUGGAAGAAGAAGGUUUUAAUUUAAUUUGGAAGGGAAGGAAAGCGAAGGUGGUGCGUCAAGUACAGUUGAGCGAAGGGUGAAAGCAAGUGCGAUAAGAAUCCAAGAAGUCUGUUGAAUGAAAGUGAAGAAGAGAUGAUGUUAUUCUUCCGUAAAUUUUGAGGUGUAAUUAUCAAGGGAGGUUUGUUCGUCUUCAAACCGUUUUAGGAGGUCACGCAGUAGAAGUCAGUCAAGUUUGAAGGUGAAGACAAAGGGUUGUGGAAGUCAAAAUAGUUUAGCAAAGUUAAGCAAAGAAAAGAAGAUGGAUCUUCUAGUAAAAAGGUUUUGGUUAGUGUUCUGCAACAAGUAUGAGAAUUUUAUACCUUAGAGAAGUGGUGCUCACUUUGGAAUGGCGUCUAAGGAGAAUCGGUGUCAGUAAUAUCUUUAUGGAUGUUUCCCGUUAAAGUUGUGUAGUACAAGAAGAAGGUGGAAGUUGGGUUAGGGGAGCAGUGUUUGGACUUUGGACUCAGUAUAAUCAUAGAAAGAACUACAAGGUUAAAGAAUCUCAGAAGAGAAGUUUUGAGACAGGUUGGAAUAUUCUAGUUUAAGUCUUAGAAAUCAGGAAUGAGUUCAAGCAUGUACAUUUUUCUAAGAGUAGAGAUAAUGUUGAGGGAAUGGAACGACAAGGUUAUCGUGGAAGAGAAGAGUCCUCAGGGUUUUUGGAAGACCAUAAAAGUUUGAAGAAGGUAUUCGAGGGUGAACUUUCUGGUUACAAUUGUCAUGAAGGAAGUGUUAUUAUCAAUGAACGAUUGAGUAAGGAAAUAUGAGGAUCAGAGUAGCGUAGCGGAUGAUGAUGGGCAUGCCAUUAUCAGUAAAGAGGUAUGCAUGAAGAGUUGUCUUAAUCAAAUGUCGGUAGUUUGGGUAGUGAUGUCUUUGUCUGAGUAUGAAUUGACAAUGUGUAGUGAUCUUCUAAAAUCAGAAGUGAGUUAUGCACACAGAAAAGGGGAAAGAGAUAAAGGAGACAAAGUUAGUCUACGGUUUCAGGUUAAAGUGAGAGAGUAUUAGCGGACGAUGAACAGAGUAAGUGGGUCAAGGGAUCAAGGAAGAUGAGGUGAGAUAUGAUUUCAAGUUAUGGUGUCAAUCUAGAGGUAAGGAAUGUUAACAUAUGGUUUGAACAAAGAGAAGAUUCAGGUUCGUGGUUUGAUAAGGAUUGAGUAAGAGUUGGUUGAAGAAUAUGAAGAUUGGGGUCUCCAGUGAAGCUUUAAAGUGAUUUCAUUAGCNUAGUUGAAUGCUAUAACUAGUGGGUUUUUCAAAAGGGUGGAGAAAGNGCAGUCUGGACAAUCCUAGUUUGAGAUGUAUCAUAAGUUGACUUGAUGCUGAUCAAGCUAGUGAUCUCGAGUCAAGGAGGUUGCAGAUCUAAGUAUGAAUUGCCGGUUAGUGAGUCAAGGAUUACUUAUGGUUCAGGUCAGAAAAAUGAUGAAGUGAAGUUGGAUUGCUCAAAUUGGUCUUGACGUUACUAAGGAGAAGAAUUUUACUUUGGUAAUGAGACGAUAUAGUUGGAAACUACGCUACUCAAGAGUGGAGAUCAGUAAGGCAUUGAGAAAUCCUCAGAAUGAGUGUGGUGGUAAGUGAUCAAGAGAAUAACAAUUGGUAGUCAAAUCAGAAGUGAUAGUGAUCAAGUUAGUGGUAGGGUGGCUCUUAGAAGACACAAGUGGAGGUAAAAGGUUAUCAGUCAAGGGUUAAUCUGAAGUGAAGGUUGGCAGAAGUUUUAGAAGAGAAUUUUAGGGAGUAGCGAAGGAUGGAUGAGUGAUUAUCAGUGUGGCAGACACUCCAGAGCGAGAUGGGUAGCAAAUUUCAGAUGAGUUCAGCAUAUCAUCCUCANACAAAUGACCAGUCCGAGAGANNAUCCAAUCACUUGAUGNUUUGUUGAGGACGUGUAUCCUGGAUCAUUUGGGAGUCUGGGAUGAGGUGUUACCAUUGGUUGAGUUCACUUAUAACAACAGUUACCAAGCUAGC